CUCAUUCCCACAAAUUAAAAUUGUAGACUGAUUUACAGUUUCACAUUUCCUGACUUCUCUCUCAUGAAAAAGAUCUAUAGGUUUGUCUUUCUUCUCAUUUUAUUUAAACCCGUUAAUCUUCUAUGUUUUUCUGUUGAUGUCAUGUCUUUGCCUAUCUUUUUUCUCUUACAAACAAGGUCAUGCCUUCACCGAUAUGAGGCUCUUCAAGCCAAAACAUGGGCGAGAGAUCCGUGGCAAACAGAAAAAGAAACUAUGCAGUCAAGAAAGAUAGUCAAGAAUCAAAAGAUUUUGAAAUAGGGUUGGUUAAAGCAAAAGCUGAGUAUUUUUCUUUCAACUGAGAAAUGGUGAAUGUAUUAAGUGUUAGUUGAAGUUUCUUGAUGUUAGUUGGGGAUUUGAGACUGAAAUCUUUGUAAUAUACAGUGUAAAUGUCAUGUUUUUUACUCCUCUACUCAUGUUUUUGUGUAUAUAUUUUUUAUCCUCAUCUUUGUAUUCCCAUAAUCCCAAAUAUUGUAACUAAUCCUCUAUGAGAAAUAAAGAUUCUGCAUUUUUUAA
This 552-nucleotide long non-coding RNA is filed under the name Nicotiana tabacum (common tobacco). Its description in RNAcentral is "long non-coding RNA (NTAB_LNC004764)". Lineage: Eukaryota; Viridiplantae; Streptophyta; Magnoliopsida; Solanales; Solanaceae. The record is from RNAcentral.